GAUGAACGCUGGCGGCGUGCCUAAUACAUGCAAGUCGAGCGAACAGACGAGGAGCUUGCUCCUCUGACGUUAGCGGCGGACGGGUGAGUAGCACGUGGAUAACCUACCUAUAAGACUGGGAUAACUUCGGGAAACCGGAGCUAAUACCGGAUAAUAUAUUGAACCGCAUGGUUCAAUAGUGAAAGACGGUUUUGCUGUCACUUAUAGAUGGAUCCGCGCCGCAUUAGCUAGUUGGUAAGGUAACGGCUUACCAAGGCAACGAUGCGUAGCCGACCUGAGAGGGUGAUCGGCCACACUGGAACUGAGACACGGUCCAGACUCCUACGGGAGGCAGCAGUAGGGAAUCUUCCGCAAUGGGCGAAAGACUGACGGAGCAACGCCGCGUGAGUGAUGAAGGUCUUCGGAUCGUAAAACUCUGUUAUUAGGGAAGAACAAAUGUGUAAGUAACUAUGCACGUCUUGACGGUACCUAAUCAGAAAGCCACGGCUAACUACGU
This 496-nucleotide ribosomal RNA is filed under the name uncultured bacterium. RNAcentral's name for it is "partial 16S ribosomal RNA". It matches the Rfam family "Bacterial small subunit ribosomal RNA", at positions 28 to 506 of the family's 1533-position model. The record is from RNAcentral.